UAACUCAUCAGCUUGUUAGGGAGACAUGUUUACCAUUUUGGAAGGAGGCUGAUAAGUUGAAUCAGGUGUUUUAAAUAAGUUUUUGGGAGGGGGUGCUCGAGGACCAGGAUUGGGAAGCACUGCGUUACACGCUGUUUUGUUAUGCUGGUGAAUGUUUAUAGCUGAUAGUGACGAGCCCCCUGAUUUCUUCUUCAGUCCAGUUUGCAGAUAUUUCUCAUUGUGAAUGUUAAUCUGCAUUUAAAUCUGCCAUGUCAAAGGGGAAAAGGCUAUAUUUUUGUCGUGAUGACACAAUAUUUAUGUUGACUAAUUAUCGACGUUGAAAUUGACACCGCCGAUUCUAUCGACCAAACGCAACAGCUCUAAGUCUAGCAUACACAUAAUUGCAUUCACUAACCUUUGCCUCAGGUUAUAAAUAACUUAAUAAUCACAACUAUCCACUACCUAAAAAGCUAUGAACAGCAGUCAUGCAAAUUUUCUCAAUUUGCUUUUCUAUUUCUACUUGCAAUUAUGUGAGCUGCAGUCUAGAUCCUGCCUCUCUGUCAGAUGACCUAACACAAAUAGAAAGAUGACAUCGACCCUUGCAAGGACUUCAGACGAUGCCAGCACUGGACUACAUACAGUGGUAAUCAUGGGUGCCCAAACUUGUGCAUGUCCCUGUACUGAUAUAUACUAUACAAAUAAUAUUUUCAGUAGUCGGUGUCAAAUUUUAUUUCAAGGUAAGAUAGCUUUACAUGUUUUUUAUUGUGCUUUAGUGAUCACACAGGCCCUGUUUAUGUUCUUAACCGGCAUGAGUUUAUUUAUUGUGAUAUACACAAAACAAGAUAUUUUGAUAAAUGAUGUUAAGUACACAGCUGCUCAUUUACUUCAAUAAAAUGUCUUUUUCCUAUUAUGGAAGUCAAUGGGUACCAUCAACUG
Molecule: long non-coding RNA, 915 nt
Organism: Paramisgurnus dabryanus
Lineage: Eukaryota; Metazoa; Chordata; Actinopteri; Cypriniformes; Cobitidae
Source: RefSeq, a predicted model, not a curated record